GUAACGCGUGGGUGACCUGCCCCAUACCGGGGGAUAACAGCUGGAAACGGCUGCUAAUACCGCAUAAGCGCACAGAGCUGCAUGGCUCAGUGUGAAAAACUCCGGUGGUAUGGGAUGGGCCCGCGUCUGAUUAGGCAGUUGGCGGGGUAACGGCCCACCAAACCGACGAUCAGUAGCCGGCCUGAGAGGGCGACCGGCCACAUUGGGACUGAGACACGGCCCAAACUCCUACGGGAGGCAGCAUG
This 245-nucleotide ribosomal RNA is filed under the name uncultured bacterium. RNAcentral describes it as "partial 16S ribosomal RNA". It matches the Rfam family "Bacterial small subunit ribosomal RNA", at positions 110 to 353 of the family's 1533-position model. The record is from RNAcentral.